GAAAGCGAGUAUCAGCUUUAAAGCUGGUGAAUUCAUAAGUAUUUAUGUGUUAUUGUCCUGUUUUGGAAUGUUGUUAAGAAUGUCGUAUAAAUCCUUAAAUAGAACAGUUGAUAUAAGUAUGAAAUGUGGUCUUCUACCAAGACCCGAAUGUUUUGUUAUGACCAGUAAAAUGAUAGGUUUUCCUUUCUAUUGACUAGUACUAAGAGUACUUAGUCUAACUCAUCGUUUAUGUGAAUAUAUCACAAAAUAAAGUAACAUAGGAAAAUGAUAUGAUAGUCUUCUACCAAGACCCUAAUGUUCUGUAAGUAAAAUGAUAGUUUUUCCUUUCUAUCGACUAGUACUAAGAGUACUUAGUCUAACUCAUCGUUUAUGUGAAUAUAUAACAAAAUAAAGUAAACAGGAAAAAUAUAAUCAUAUAAGUGUUAUUAUCUUGGGUUACCAGUAUAAACACGACAUCGCAGUAAGCGAUAUGUAUAACCUAAUGAACCUCCGAAGAUGGUCCAAUUGUCCUCUGUAGCAGCAGCAGGUUGGAGGAAGGGUUAGUCCCGUAAAGGUACUCCUAGUAUAAGUAAUAACCGUAGGCAUCCGUAGAUGUUCAUCGACCACUGGUACUAAUCGGUUGGGAUUCGGAAUGGUUAGUCCCGUCUAAAUAUCCCGAGGUACUGGGGGAUAGGGUCCCGUCUAAAUAUCCCGAGGUACUGGGGGAUAGGGUCCCGUCUAAAUAUCCCAAGGUACUAGGGGAUAAGGUCCCGUCUAAAUAUCCUGAGGUACUGGGGGAUAGGGAGGAUAAGUUACACAGAAGGUAGUAAUAAUCAUCCUCGCAAUUUGAGAUACAAGUAUUCUUGUAAGUAAUACACAGGUAAAUGUAUCUACAUAAAGGUACUCAUGUAAGGUAUUCAUGUAUCAUGUAAGCAUAUGUAAACAUACUCAUGUAUCAGGUAAUGUACUAGUAAAGACUCAUGAAUGAACUGACUCUUGUGUGAUUCCUUGUAAUAGGAAUUAUGUUUGAUAUCUACAAAUUAUCCCUAUGAUAAUUUACUGAAAGGUAAAUGGUUGUUCAAGUAGGUUUAUACACUCUUACUACUCAAGGGUGUGGGAAACUGAACGAAGGAUGGAAACUAUAACAUCAAUACAUACAUAUAAGAACAUAUGCGUAUAAGUGUAGUUUUAUUCAAGAAGGUAAAAUAAUGGUUUUGCAAGAUAUCUAGGAGUUUUGCACAAUAAUUAAGGAUGACUUGAUGUCAUUUUAAUAAACAUUUCAAAACUAAUACUUUUGUUAUCAAGGUAUUUUAAGAUAGAAACCAUUUCGUGUGACACCUUUUGAAAUAUGUGACAUCUACUGAGUGAAAACACAGUUAUAAAAUACAUAAGAUUGAUUUAAUAACUUACUGUUUUCUACUUGUAUUCCCCUCCCAUCAAGGCAUAUAAAAUCAUUUAAAACAUUGAUUAAGGGGUAUGAACUCACCUGUAGUUAGUAGUUCAAAUGAACUGGACGGUGUAGGAUUGUUAGGCGUCAAGUGAGGACUUGUACACACACAACGAUCCUAAUGAACAUAUAAUCACACAUAUAUGCACUCAAUUAGUCUCAAAUUACUAAUUGAUAAUGUUAAGACAUCCUAGACAUAAUAAACACUUUAUAUAAGUGUUUUAAGCCCUAAGGAUUGCAUCUAAGCUAUUGUGGGACAAGGCACUUGUGUUUAGGGUUCCAAAGGACCCCAUAUAUGAGUUUACUCCUCAUAUACCAUCACACAUGGACUUUACGGUUGUAAACUCUUGAGUUUACGGCCGUAAACUCGAAGACUCAAUGUCUUUGGUUGUUUUUGUUGGAUUAAUGUCUAAGUCCAUAACUAUAAUUGGUAAGACUUGACCCGACCCGGCAUGGUCCAUUUGGGUUGCAUACCAUCAUGCACUUGGAUGAGAGAAAUAAGACACUUAUGGUUAUUAAUAUAUUAUAAGUUCUAGUAUAUUAAUAAUAAGAAUAAUAAGAUUAUUUAAUUAGUAUUGAUCAAGAAUUAAUCUAGGAUUAAUUAAGUGAUCAAAAGAAGACUAAUUAAAUAUAUGGGUUGAUUGUGUAAAUCAUCCAUACUUGUAUAGUGGGCUAAUGCUCCAUGGAUAAUCAAGUUGGGCUAAAACCCAUAGGAUGGUCCAUGGAUGCUCCAUGGUGUAUUUGUACCCAUGGAUCCAAGGAAAUGGAAAGCCAUGACAAUUAAGAGUUUACCCUAAUUGUGUAACUAUAUAAGCAUCUUAUUAUUGAGGAAAAAUCGGCCACUAGAGAUAGUGAAGAAAGGGCUAGCCGAUUUUGAAGAGUGUAGAAUUCUCUCAAAUCAUUCCAAGUGUUUUGAUGAUUGUGAUUCCAUUUGAGGUGUCACACUUGGGGCACUAGGCACUCUAGCUUCAUGAAGACUUUCCUCUCCAAGAGGUAUGUAUUCUAUCUUGCUAUAGUCAUUGUUUUGUAUGCUAGAUUAGGAUAAUACCUUGGAAGUUCUUAUUUGCAUGUAUAAUAGAGAAAACAUAGAUCCAAGGUAUUUAGGGUUGCAUGUACACUUAGGAGUAUUAGAAUGCUCAAAACCCAACAGUUUUAAGGUGUUAAAUAAUCCCUAGAAUUAUCCCAACUGGGUGGUUAAGUCCGUGGAAGGCUUUAAGGCCUAGAAACACUCCCUAGAGGAGUUUACGGCCCCAAGGCCAUUUCAUUUGGAGUUUACGGCCGUAAACUCCCUUGGAAUGGUGUUUUUGUUGUUUUCAUGUCUCUUGCAUUUGAAGGAUAGGUUCUAGACAUUUGUUUAAAGCUAAUGAGCACCCUAGGCACACUUUAGUGCCCUUGUUUGGUGUUUACGGCCUAGGAGCAUUACCAAGGCCGUAAACUCACUUCAAGAGGUGGUUUUGAUGUGGUUUUGCCCUUUAAUUAAGUGGGAAACAAUUCCAUGUAAAGGUUUAGGGCUUUAGGUGUAUUAAAAACACCCUUUGGUCCAUUUCUUAUGGAGUUUACAGCCUAACAUACACUUGGGCCGUAAACUCUCAUUUGUUUGUGUUCUUUGAUUGUUUUCUUGUCCUUAAUACACCUACAAUCGAGUCUAGGGUAGUAGCAUAACACAAGGAAAAGUCUAGGCUCGGUUUCGGGAGUUUACCGCCCAAGAACACCUUGGGGAGUAAACUCCUAGAUCUAAUGAUUUAGCCAUCUAAAUCAUGUUAUAAGCACAUAACAAGCUUUCUAACACUACUAGAAAGAGUUACUCAUGAUUUGGGAUAAAAACCCGAAUAUCCAUGAGAGAGAAAAUGGCUUUUCUCUAGUUGGAAAUGCGAAUAAUGAAUGAAUUUGGUUCAGAAUUCUAUUUAUAGUCCUGAGAUAUUUCUGGCAGAAAAUAUUUUCAUUCCUGAAAUGAUCUCUAAUAUAAUAGAUUGUUGGAAUAACAGUGUUGCACAAAACCCUAGUGCACCCACUCUCCUGAUAUCUCCUUUAGUGUAAAUCCUGAAAACUGCCAAACUUAUACCCGAAGUCUGGAAUUUCCCUGAAACUGUUAUAAGCUCUAUUGUCUUGAUAUGGGUGGUUCAUAAUGGAAAUUUCGGUUUGUCACAUCAUCCCCCUGUUAAAGGGAAUUUCGUCCCGAAAUUAGAAUUUAGAUAAGGAAGUAGGUAUAAAUGAUCGAGUCGUUAGGUGAAAACUUCCUUAUCGAUUUUCUCCCGCGCUUCCAAGUGAAAUCAGGUUCUUAGUUGGUAUUUCAACGAACCUUCACUAAUGGGCGACGACGUUGCUUCCUCCGCUUGGCCACUCGGUCGAGGGUCACUACGGUUCUAAUAUGAAGGAAAGGAUCUUGUAGAUCUCGAUCUCGUCGAGACGGAUUACGAAAGUCCUAAUGGAAGGAUACUGUUUCAAGUUCGAGACGCGAAGGGGAAAAUUUACUUUACUGAGUUCGCGGAGUAGGUCUAGUUUGUGAAAUGCAGGACCGAUUCUGGUAAGAAUCUCAGACGUCCUAACUAUAUUGGACUUUAGCUUUCCACGCUUUACGAAGCGUAUUAAGCCGUUCCCAGAGUGAGGUUUCCUAAAGAAUUUGGUCUCUCACUUGGAAUUCCCAAUUGUUCUUUCUCUCGCUUACUUCCCAGUCAAGGGCCAUCCCUUGCUGGGUCAAAGUCGAAAGGGUUCCUGAAGUUUACGGGGAGUUCUGAAUGGACUAUGAUAGUAGGUCUGUAAGACCUAGAAUUUGGCAAAUUUUCCGUCGGUGACUAUGGUGCCGACAUAUUCCCAACAGUUUUGGAUAAUUUGACAGAGUACUCAAGAAUUUCCACAACACUAAUAGUGUGUCUCAGGAAAUUUGACUCUAAUUUCCAAAACUCUUGAUUAGAGAACUUUGCGAAAAGUAUCUCCAAGGGUAAUGUUUCCAUGGGUUCUUUCUUACUACGAGGGUAGAUAAGUAGUCAUUAUAUGGAGAAAUGACGAACUGAUCCCAGUAAGAAAGGCAUACUCCAGUCAUUUAGUUCAUGAAUACUAUGGGCGUAUUGGUCCUAUCCGAGGGGUAUCACUACGGACUCGAAGUGUCCGUAUCGAGUUCGGAGGGUAGUCUUUAGGACACCCUUCCCUAACACUCAAACGGGUGAUAUUCGGAUCUCAGGUCCAUUUCUGAAAGUAACACUCUCCUUGUGGUUGCUCAAUCCACUCGUCUAUGCGAGGAAGAGACAACGGUUUCUAAGGAAAUCUUAAUGAAGUUUUCGGUCGUCGAGGUACAUAAGAUGCACUCCGUCGACUUCUGGUAAAGAUAAGACCAGAGCUCUCAAGGGUAAGAAGCAUGGUCCCUUAAUUCUAUUGUUGAGUAGUUCAUUGUGUUGUCCGGGCUGGUCUUGUAUCUUCCGUAGGUGUUUAGACUGAAGGCGAUCUGGUUAUAAGAGUCAUACUGGGUUCUAAGUUUGUUCCUAUGCCAAUGCAAUUACUCGUACUCCUGGACAGUCUCCGUCCUGAAGUUCAUAUUAGAAUUCAUACGUGAUUCAAUGAUCACAAUUUCGUGUAUACGAGUCGUAUAUAAUUAAGACUGAAAAGGUAGUCGAAUAACUGAUUCUUCCUUAAUCUCACAUCCCAUCAAGGGAAAAGAACUUAAAGUGGAAUCAUCAAUUCUAAACCUGUAGAACAUUGAUUAUAUAUCACUCUCAUGUAUACAUCCUUCAGUGAUAGAUCAACCGUAUGAAUCCUGGAAUUGAACUUGACGUACUGCACGAGUAAUACUGUGGGGAUUCCUUCGGAAAUGAAAGGAACUAAUAAGGUACUCCUUGUAUGAGUACUUCGGUGUUCUGAUAUGACGGCUUCGCUAAAAGACGAUUUCUGAGGUAGAGAUGCACGUAUGGAACUGGUAUUGCGAGGAUCAAAUUUACUCGAGUCGUAUGAUAAAGUCGGAAACAUAUGGAAACUAAAGACAUUAGAUUUGAACAUAAGGUGCUACAGACAAAACACAACAGUGCAACCGUUAACAGAGUUGCUGUACUUAGGAUUUACUACAAGACUAUUGCUGCGAACAAGGUAUACUAUAAAAGACAAGUAUACGCAGCACGAGCAUCCCUAAACGGACAGGAUCCCGCAAAAAAUAAGACUCUGGUUGCACUAGUUUUGGGAUGGUUCAUAAGUCUGUUACAACGAAACGUCUAAAUUACAUUAACGUGGGUCCAGAGUAGACUCUCCUACGGCGGUGGUCGGUAGCAUACUGCCGUGUGUGCCAGCAUUUGCUGCCUCUGGGUAGUUCCUUUUGUAAUGACCUACAUUGCCACAACCGUAGAAAACCUGGUUCCCACUGGUGUUUGGCACUUGAGCGUCGUGAGCUGUUGGCGUCCUGCUGAAACGGGCUGUAUGCCCUUUCUUGUUGCAGUGUGAGCACUGCAUCUCCCUACAAGGUCCAUGGUGGUGAAAACCGCAUUUAAUGCAUUUUGGGAGACUCCUAACAUAAAGUUUGGCUGGUUUGGGGACCAUUGGGACGCUCGAAGGGAUGGUAGUAGGAGAUACUGAUGUCGUAGCUAUGAAGGUUGUUACUGGUGGUUGUUUCUUGUUCGCCCUUCGAAGCAACUAGUCCUUAUAGUUAGUCCAAGACUUUCGUUUGAUACUCUUGGUCUUAGGACUCGGGGUAUCGUGGUAGUUUGUUUCUUGCUGGGGUACUGGAUUGUUACUUGGAUGGGAAUAGUUGUUAACAAUCCCGCUAACACUUGCGUUGUUAGCGUUCAGAUGGUUCAGAAUGGCUGACACGGCAGCCGAGAUUGCAGCUCGAAAGGUAGCUGCAUCAAUCUGAAGAGUUGGCGUUUGGUUGAUGGGCUGAUCACUUUUCUUGGGAGAAAUGAUUCUGUUACACCAAAAGAAAAAUGAAUUUGUGAGCGAGAAUGGUUGAACCUAGACGUAGUUCGAUCGCUCAUGAAAAGAAUAGAAGUAUGUUCUCUAAAGUUCGUCCUACAUCCCUAUGAUGCAGUCCUAGUAUGGAAUGGAAGUACGUUCUUAAAACGGUCUCAAGAUGUUUGUUGUUCGAGCCGAGGUAUUAUUGGUUGGUGAAUAACAUGAUCCAACCAUUACCAGAGACUUGGAGAUGUCGCCGGGGUUAAAUUGCUAUAGUCUAAUGACUUGACUAGAGCAUGUUUCAAAUAGACUCUAAAGAAAGUAUGAUAAGAGUAUUCGAAUAAAGAACGACACAGAAGUUAGCCGACUGUCAAUAUCUUUGAUAUUCAUGACGUACAAGUUCGGGAAAAUGACCUUGUAAAAAGGUCUUACAUCAUAACCAGAGAAGAUAGUUCCUGACAGUAAAAAGACCUAACCAAAGUACUUACAGUACAAGAUAGUUUCAUAGAAAAUGCCACAUCGGGCAUAGACAGAAGGACGAUUCCUUUCUAACAAGGAAAGUAAAGUAAAGUAUCUACUACUGGCGAUGGUCAUCCCUCUGGUGAACUCUCAGUUCAGCCAGUUGGCGUUCCACAUCAAGUAGGUGUCUUUCGUAUACUCUCUGGCGUACUUGAAGUUCCAUGACUUCGGUUCGUGAUUCAGCCAGUGCUUGCAGCAGGGUUUCAUAGUCUCUUUCAGACCUCUCACAAGCAUGUUCAAGGAGACUGGUGCGAAGCAUAUGCAUUCCUCCAUUUGUAUCGACUUCUGUGAUACGUUAUAGAGCUGUCCUGCCCUGAAUUUUGCUUCGGGCAACUCUCCGGAUCAGAAUUGGCAUGAUUUUGUCUGCUGAGCCCCCAUUGCUCAGAUCAUAGAAGCUUCGGUCACCAUUAAAUGGCAUGGGCUGAUCUUGUCCUUGGCUCCAUGUUUCCAAACAUUCCACCCACUCAGGCGUCGGGCCAUGAAAAUCCAGACGAGGGUUAGGAAUUGGAAAGGGAGCUGCCUGAGGUAGGUUCUCAACCUCGGGCUCGGAGAUGGCAUCGUCUGAAAGGUCUUCUGCAUGGUGAUCAUUCAUAGGGAUUGGAUGAUCAUUAUCUAGUUCUUCUCCAAACCAUCUAGCAAUAACUGUGUUCGGAAGGAACAGGUUGUCGUCGGGAUGGAAUCCAGCCAUUUUAUCUACGCGAGAAUUUUGGGUAAGAAAAUAAUUAUUAGACGAACUAUCUAGAUAAUUAUUUAGGAAAUCUUCAUUAGUUCCAUCGCUAUUUGUAAAGUGCUUACCAGUUAUAUGUAAUCAACACAGGAUAGACCUUCGAAUAAGUGACCUCAACUCCAAAUUCACAAGGAAUAGGAGUAAAGCAAAAAUUUCACCGAUUCUAAGUCUAUAACAUCCUAGUUACGUAUAACUUUAGCGUAUCCACUUAGCAAUUAUCAACUUAGGAAUGAAGAUUCCAUUUUAGUUCUCAAGUAUAUAGUAAUUAUAGUAACACAAAACACCCCUAUGGUAUUUUAGACUUAGGUUCUGCUAUAAUGUUCUCAUUGUGGUAAUGUUGGUAAGUUUUUAGACUUGUUGCCAUAUCACAACCAUUCUUUGGCAUGUGCUAAUCACUCCUCGGAACAGCAUAGUUGAUCAGGCUAUGCCAUUCCCAAGACUGACCAUACAUCCCCGAGCUUACCUGUGAUAUUCAACAAUCGUAAUACUUUUGUUCUUGUCAUUGUGACACUGAUUUUAGCAUGAAUGCAGGCACGUAUACUUUGUUAAAUAUUUUAUUAUUUAAAAGUAUAUUCUCUUAGACAGAGUGUUUUAAUCCCAAUGUAUUUAUAGUUAGUAUAUCUUUUAUGGGUUGAUAUACUUUAUUCACUAUAAACAAUGCUCUGAUACCAAUGUGUCACACCCCAAAACCACGAACGGCGGAAACGUUCAGGGGUGGAGGACGUCAUGUACAGUAUCACAACAGUGUAAUAUAAUAAACAAGCAACAACAUCAUCCAUUGCAUUAUAAGUAGAGUUUUAAUACAUGUGUGUUCUUUCAUAAUGUACGACAAUAAAAUGAAUAAUCAAAAUAAGGCGAGUCUUGUCUGUGCUCCAUCUUCUCCGGUAACAUGGCCAUCGCACCUGUCUAACUGAUGACCUGAGAAUACAAGUUAUUUUGAAAGCGAGUAUCAGCUUUAAAGCUGGUGAAUUCAUAAGUAUUUAUGUGUUAUUGUCCUAUUUUGGAAUGUUGUUAAGAAUGUCAUAUAAAUCCUUAAAUAGAACAGUUGAUAUAAGUAUGAAAUGUGGUCUUCUACCAAGACCCGAAUGUUUUGUUAUGACCAGUAAAAUGAUAGGUUUUCCUUUCCAUUGACUAGUACUAAGAGUACUUAGUCUAACUCAUCGUUUAUGUGAAUAUAUCACAAAAUAAAGUAACAUAGGAAAAUGAUAUGAUAGUCUUCUACCAAGACCCUAAUGUUCUAUAAGUAAAAUGAUGAUUUUUCCUUUCUAUCGACUAGUACUAAGAGUACUUAGUCUAACUCAUUGUUUAUGUGAAUAUAUCACAAAAUAAAGUAAACAGGAAAAAUAUAAUCAUGUAAGUGUUAUUAUCUUGGGUUACGAGGAUAGACACGACAUCGCUGUAAGCGAUAUGUAUAACCUAAUGAACCUCCGAAGAUGGUCCAAUUGUCCUCUGUAGCAACAACAGGUUGGAGGAAGGGUUAGUCCCGUAAAGGUACUCCUAGUAUAAGUAAUAACCGUAGGCAUCCAUAGAUGUUCAUCGACCACUGGUGCUAAUCAGUUGGGAUUCGGAAUGGUUAGUCCCGUCUAAAUAUCCCGAGGUACUGGGGGAUAGGGUCCCGUCUAAAUAUCCCGAUGUACUGGGGGAUAGGGUCCCGUCUAAAUAUCCCGAGGUACUGGGGGAUAGGGAGGAUAAGGUACACAGAAGGUACUAAUAAUCAUCCUUGCAAUUCGAGAUACAAGUAUUCUUGUAAGUAAUACACAGGUAAAUGUAUCUACGUAAAGGUACUCAUGUAAGGUAUUCAUGUAUCAUGUAAGCAUAUGUAAACGUACUCAUGUAUCAGGUAAUGUACUAGUAAAGACUCAUGAAUGAACUGACUCUUGUGUGAUUCCUUGUAAUAGGAAUUAUGUUUG
RNAcentral lists this long non-coding RNA (9451 nucleotides) under Lactuca sativa (garden lettuce). Its description in RNAcentral is "long non-coding RNA (LSAT_LNC005573)". The record is from RNAcentral. Lineage: Eukaryota; Viridiplantae; Streptophyta; Magnoliopsida; Asterales; Asteraceae.